RNAcentral lists this non-coding RNA (24 nucleotides) under Cricetulus griseus (Chinese hamster). Lineage: Eukaryota; Metazoa; Chordata; Mammalia; Rodentia; Cricetidae. The record is from RNAcentral.
GUAGCUGACAAGGACCUUCUAGAC